CCCUUAGAUGUUCUGGGCCGCACGCGCGCUACACUGAUGAAUUCAACGAGCACUAACCUGUGCAGAAAUGUUCGGGUAAUCUUGUGAAAUUUCAUCGUGAUGGGGAUUGAUUAUUGCAAUUAUUAAUCAUAAACGAGGAAUGCCUAGUAAGCGUGAGUCAUCAGCUCACGUUGGUUACGUCCCUGCCCUUUGUACACACCGCCCGUCGCUCCUACCGAUUGAAUGUGCUGGUGAAAAGUUCGGAUUGGGAAUAGGAGACGGCAACGUAUCCUGUUUCUGAGAAAAUCUUUAAACCCUCCCAUUUAGAGGAAGGAGAAGUCGUAACA
RNAcentral lists this ribosomal RNA (326 nucleotides) under uncultured eukaryote. RNAcentral describes it as "partial 18S ribosomal RNA". It matches the Rfam family "Eukaryotic small subunit ribosomal RNA", at positions 1470 to 1796 of the family's 1831-position model. The record is from RNAcentral.